AGGAUUAGAAAUCUUCAUACAUAAAUCAGCUGAGUGAGUCCUUGCCUGAGCAGAAGCAAGGGUUUCUCGAGAAACCCAUGAGAUGGCUGAGG
RNAcentral lists this microRNA precursor (92 nucleotides) under Mus pahari (shrew mouse). Its description in RNAcentral is "miRNA (MGP_PahariEiJ_G0007727.1)". Lineage: Eukaryota; Metazoa; Chordata; Mammalia; Rodentia; Muridae. The record is from RNAcentral.